This 258-nucleotide unclassified non-coding RNA is filed under the name uncultured Ascomycota. RNAcentral's name for it is "sequence contains ITS2". The record is from RNAcentral. Lineage: Eukaryota; Fungi; Ascomycota. RNAcentral also lists the same sequence under 1 other name.
AACGCACAUUGCGCCCCCUGGCAUUCCGGGGGGCAUGCCCGUUCGAGCGUCAUUAAACCCAAUCAAGCCCGGCUUGGUAUUGGGCGACGGGUCUCUCCCGCGCCCCAAUUUCACCGGCUGGCCGUCGCCUGUCUUUAGCGUUGUGACAUACUUCUCGCUGAUGGUAGGGACGGUUCACGCCGUUAGAAUGCAGCGAAUUUCAAUCGAAGUUCGAUCAAGGUUGACCUCGGAUCGGGUAGGAAUACCCGCUGAACUUAA